Molecule: long non-coding RNA, 992 nt
Organism: Zingiber officinale
Lineage: Eukaryota; Viridiplantae; Streptophyta; Magnoliopsida; Zingiberales; Zingiberaceae
Exons: 2
Source: RefSeq, a predicted model, not a curated record
CUCGUUCUCUGCACAUCGCGCCCGAACCCAAGCUUUCCUCCCGAUUCCCCUCUUCACCGUGCCCUAGCCAUGUCUCUCCCUCUCUCGUUCUCGCGGUUGUGAUCGCACUGACCACCAUCUACGUCGCUAUUGCCCUAGAUUGCGGACUGACGCCUGACAUCGUCGCGCCUCCUCGUCGACUAUGGAGUUGUCUUCCUCUCUUGGCCACAAGCACCAGGUGCUCGCCGGGAGCCGAGCGCGCGAGUCUGUGAUAGAGGUAGGUUUCCUGAGUUUUUUUUUCUGAUUCCAUCGUUUGUCGAUCUCCUUCCGUGCCCUGUUUCCUCCUCAAACACACCACCGGAUUGUCAUUGCAUCGCCCACCUCCCCUCGCGUUCCCGACGAUCUCCUUUCUCUGCAUUUCCUCGUCGGCCAUCCUCUUUCAUUUGCGUUUCAUGGGUCGGUCAUCCUCUUUCGGCCUCAAGAAGGUAUGAAGUGUUUCCCUUUCUUGUCCGAUUUCUGUCGUAGUAUGCCACCAGAUUGACAUGUGAGGGCAACUGGACAGAACGAGGCUUCGUGCCCAAGCGUGGAGGUCAUUGUAACUUUGGCUAGCACUGUUCGCCGGCGAACUACAGUUCUAGACAUCCUGUUCCAGAAGUGAACCUUUCCAGCAGUGAAUCAAUGAAGGAGAAGUCCAGGUUGGAUAAGUUGUGCUAUAAAUUGAUUACAUUAUGUAAUGAAUUAGAUUAAGGGAUUAAUUGAGAUGUGGAUUAAUUUGAAGGUUGUAGUUGGUUGUUCUUGUUAGGUUGAUGUGAUUUAUAUUUGGUUUAGGGGAGUUUUUGGGAGGAAUCAUGUAUAAACCUAAUCUAAUUAGGUUGUAGUAUGGGUAAGGUUGAUUGGGGGAUUGUUGGAGAAGCUUGGCUAUAGGGUAUGCAGGUGAUUUCAUGAUUUCGGUUUGGAUCUAUAGCUUGUUUAAAAAUUCAGAUUUGGGUCAAUUGAUUAAUAAGAUUUGGUUA